UGGGAAGUAGCAUAAGAAGUGUAUUUUGUUUACGCCAAAAUGGUAGUUAAGUCACUCUUCCUAU
Molecule: transfer RNA, 64 nt
Filed under: Pseudocardium sachalinense (Sakhalin surf clam)
Lineage: Eukaryota; Metazoa; Mollusca; Bivalvia; Venerida; Mactridae
Description: tRNA-Val
Source: RNAcentral